Molecule: long non-coding RNA, 618 nt
Filed under: Mytilus galloprovincialis (Mediterranean mussel)
Lineage: Eukaryota; Metazoa; Mollusca; Bivalvia; Mytilida; Mytilidae
Source: RNAcentral
GUGGACAUCACAAUAUAGCAACUUAUUACAUAAUAAUUAAUUAUGUAAUAAUUAUGUCAUAAUGAAAUUAUCACAAUUUGAAAGGUGAAUCUUUCUUCUUUCUUUCGGUACCUCAUUUAUAAUAUAUAAAGAAGGAUGAAAUGAUUACAUCAGUUUAAAGUUGUCUGAUUGGGAGUGAACAAAUCUUUGUAUUGUGCUACCUUAAAAAACCUUUUUUUGUUUGAAAAGCAAAUAAGAAAUUACACUUCACACUCUCGGCACACAUUUCGUGACACUGAUUAUAUUAUGGAAUAUUUCCAUACACAAAUAUUUAUUUAAACAAUUACUGGGGAUUCAUUAUUUUAGUGGUUAAUUACCAAAUUCUGUUGCUACAUGUAUGUGAAAAAUAUGAGUUCACUGGGUAUUGGAUUUGACAGUUUCACUAAUUUUCAUAGAAACCUUCAAUAAAGUUGUACUUAGCUGAAAACUUUUAAAAUACUCAUGAAAUCAACUGAAAAUAGGUACCCCACAAGGUACCCCACAAGGUACCCCACAAGUAAUAUUGAAUUCACAGUACUGUAUAUUCUGCAUUAUUACAUGCAUUUACUAUGGUGGUUUUGUCAUUUAGACUAAAAUGGG